UGAGCUCAGUUUUACCAUCACAGCAGCACUUGCUGAACGUCUGUUUAGACCAGUAAAUAACCUUUAAUUCGUGGAAGAGCAUCAAAGUGCCGGACAGUGUUGCGUGUUCACCCACUGAACUUGGUGCCACCAGUGAACCAGGGCCUGCGGUGAAGUCGGACGUCCCAAAUUUGAUUUUUAAUGCCAUGGUGGCUCUUGCACAAAGCAAAUUAAUCAUGGUGCUCGUUUAGAGUCUGCUAGGUAGGUCUUUCAUUGCCAAGCAGAUCAGAAUCAAUUUGUCCGAUCCUUGGACAGGAAGUGUCCCUCCGUGCCCGGGCUGCAUCUCAAACUGACAGGUGUGCUACAGUAUCCCCGGCGGCGUAAAUGCCUCUGAGGCAGCCGCGUAUGUGCCUGAUGCACUGGGAAUGGAUUCAUUGCCAAUACUGGCAGCCUGGCUUGGGAGCAAUGCCCAAAUAUGGCUCGCAGCUGGUCAGCAGGGCGGUGGCCAGCGCGGCCGUCUUUGGGCCGAACUUGCGCGAGAAUAGCGGGCAGUCCUCCAGCACCGCUGCAUCCCAGCUCAGCUGCGCCGCCCGCUCGCAGUCAAACUGCGCCAGCUCGGAUGUGUGCACAUACAUCGCCCUCACACUCCUGCAGCCAAGCCCCCCAUCAGAUGCUUCUGCUUUCCACCAUAGAAUGUAUGGAACGACAAGCAUCAGACACUGUAUGCACUGUAUAUAUGAGCGUUGCCAUGCAGGGAUCAAAUGCGAAUACAGGUGCGUGGGGCGGGAGCACUGUUGAAUGCACAGGGCACGGGAUGAAGGGAGAGGAUAGACCGCAUUAGAAAGAAGUGAUGUAGUGUGGAAGGAAGGAGAUGGGGUUACCUGGUGGUGGCAACCUCGUUGCAGAAAA
This 888-nucleotide long non-coding RNA is filed under the name Coccomyxa subellipsoidea. Its description in RNAcentral is "long non-coding RNA (CSUB_LNC000679)". Lineage: Eukaryota; Viridiplantae; Chlorophyta; Trebouxiophyceae; Coccomyxaceae. The record is from RNAcentral.